UGAAAUUCAAAAACAAAAGUGAAGCAGAUUUGGGCAGCAAGAAAAUGUACAGAGACCUGAUGCACAAAUUAACCCCUUAAGGGCAAAACACGUGGGCCCCGCCACUUUAAAAACUAUUGAAUGGUUCUGCAGGACCCAUUUUAUUUCUUAUUCCCAUUGUUUUUCAAACAAAAAGAAGUAGAAUGCUUCUUCUUCCCUGCUCCCUUUCCAUUUUUCUUUGCUAGGAAUUCAACCUAGCUUGCGCCACCCUGGAGGAUCAUCGGUGCCACGCACCUCCACCCUAUCGCCGGUUCACGGAUCAAGACCAGAUAUAGCCGCGAAAAUCUCGGAAUCGAGAGGCGUGGCGGAGUGGGAUGCUGGUGAGAGGCGUGCGGCGCGAGGACUCAUGCAACAACUUUGAGUCUCUGUUCGUUUGGGCCUUGUUUGGGUCUAUUUUUGUGCCUAUUUUUCUUGUAUUGGAUCAUGGCAUGAAUUUGGUCCUACACUAUAAACUUAUGUAUAGUGUAGGAAAUAAUAGCAAAAUUUAAAUUAUAAUAUAAGGGUUCUAGAGGGAUUUUUACCACAA
Long non-coding RNA from Gossypium arboreum, 565 nucleotides. RefSeq lists it as uncharacterized. The transcript is spliced from 2 exons. The record is from RefSeq and is a predicted model, not a curated record. NCBI's taxonomy places the organism in Eukaryota, Viridiplantae, Streptophyta, Magnoliopsida, Malvales, Malvaceae.